GGUUUAAUUCGUUACUAACCGAAGAACCUUACCCAGGCUUGACAUCCCCGGACCGCCUGUGAAAGCAGGUUUCCCCACCCACAAGGUGGGGCUGGGUGACAGGUGUUGCAUGGCUGUCGUCAGCUCGUGUCGUGAGAUGUUGGGUUAAGUCCCGCAACGAGCGCAACCCUCAUCGCAUGUUGCCAGCGUAAAGUCGGGCACUCUUGCGAAACUGCCCGUGUAAGCGGGAG
This 230-nucleotide ribosomal RNA is filed under the name uncultured bacterium. RNAcentral describes it as "partial 16S ribosomal RNA". It matches the Rfam family "Bacterial small subunit ribosomal RNA", at positions 943 to 1168 of the family's 1533-position model. The record is from RNAcentral.